UAUUGUUUUUCGUGAUCUAGU
RNAcentral lists this non-coding RNA (21 nucleotides) under Caenorhabditis elegans. The record is from RNAcentral. Lineage: Eukaryota; Metazoa; Nematoda; Chromadorea; Rhabditida; Rhabditidae.